CCUAACACAUGCAAGUCGAACGAACUCUUCGGAGUUAGUGGCGCACGGGUGCGUAACGCGUGGGAAUCUGCCCUUGGGUACGGAAUAACUCAGAGAAAUUUGUGCUAAUACCGUAUAAUGACUUCGGUCCAAAGAUUUAUCGCCCAAGGAUGAGCCCGCGUAAGAUUAGCUAGUUGGUGGGGUAAAAGCCUACCAAGGCGACGAUCUUUAGCUGGUCUGAGAGGAUGAUCAGCCACACUGGGACUGAGACACGGCCCAGACUCCUACGGGAGGCAGCAGUGGGGAAUAUUGGACAAUGGGCGAAAGCCUGAUCCAGCAAUGCCGCGUGAGUGAUGAAGGCCCUAGGGUUGUAAAGCUCUUUUACCCGGGAUGAUAAUGACAGUACCGGGAGAAUAAGCUCCGGCUAACUUCGUGCCAGCAGCCGCGGUAAUACGAGGGGAGCUAGCGUUGUUCGGAAUUACUGGGCGUAAAGCGCGCGUAGGCGGCUUUUUAAGUCAGAGGUGAAAGCCCGGGGCUCAACCCCGGAAUUGCCUUUGAAACUGGAAAGCUAGAAUCUUGGAGAGGUCAGUGGAAUUCCGAGUGUAGAGGUGAAAUUCGUAGAU
This 602-nucleotide ribosomal RNA is filed under the name Sphingopyxis sp. E107. RNAcentral's name for it is "bacterial SSU rRNA". It matches the Rfam family "Bacterial small subunit ribosomal RNA", at positions 47 to 695 of the family's 1533-position model. The record is from RNAcentral. Lineage: Bacteria; Pseudomonadati; Pseudomonadota; Alphaproteobacteria; Sphingomonadales; Sphingopyxidaceae.